UGUGUAUUUGGUGGUGUUUAAAACAAUGU
Molecule: non-coding RNA, 29 nt
Filed under: Mus musculus (house mouse)
Lineage: Eukaryota; Metazoa; Chordata; Mammalia; Rodentia; Muridae
Source: RNAcentral